Molecule: long non-coding RNA, 401 nt
Organism: Amphimedon queenslandica
Lineage: Eukaryota; Metazoa; Porifera; Demospongiae; Haplosclerida; Niphatidae
Exons: 4
Source: RefSeq, a predicted model, not a curated record
UUAUUAUGUUUAUUACUUUAGAAGGUGAGAAGAUUUAGAAUAGAGUGGCUUCCUGUUAAAGAUAUUAAAGAUUCUUCAGAUGAAAUAUACAUAUGGAGAUAUGAAGUGCCACAGCGUUACACAUGGGUAAUAGGACUCAUUUUAUUAUUAGGAGUAAUUGGAUUUACACUCCAGCCACUAUGGCCUGACUCUUCUAAGUUGGGAAUGUGGUUCCUUAGUGUGAUCAUGAUGAUACUGCUUGGCAUAUUAUUAGCACUGUACAUAGUUCGCUGGUUUCUUUAUGCUUUAGUCUUAACAUUUACAAGUGGUAAAGUAGUCUUUUGGCUCCUUCCUAAUCUCGAUGAUGAUAAGAUGGGUGUCAUUGACUCUUUCAAGCCGUUUUAUUCUGUCAAAUAUAAAAA